GCAAACUUGGUCAUUUAGAGGAAGUAAAAGUCGUAACAAGGUUUCCGUAGGUGAACCUGCGGAAGGAUCAUUAAAGGAUACGAGCUUAGGCUCGAUUCUCUCACCACUGUGUAUUUACUUUGUUGCUUUGGGGGGUUUGAAGCCGCCUGCAAAGGUGAACUCGACCCCCCAAAGGUCAUUUCAAAAUCUUUUGUCUGACGAACGUCCGAUUUUUACCUUCGUUAAUACGAUAAAUACAACUUUCAACAAUGGAUCUCUUGGCUCCGGCAUCGAUGAAGAACGCAGC
Molecule: unclassified non-coding RNA, 286 nt
Filed under: uncultured fungus
Lineage: Eukaryota; Fungi
Description: partial contains small subunit ribosomal RNA, internal transcribed spacer 1, and 5.8S ribosomal RNA
Rfam family: Eukaryotic small subunit ribosomal RNA (bases 1-73)
Source: RNAcentral